CAAGUAUUAAAACAACUAAAAGAUGACAGCAUCUACCCAACAAAAAAAGUUGAUCAUUCUGUUCGAGAAGAGACGGUUUCUGCCAGUUCUAUAAGGGAUAAAAGGACACAGUGAAAUACAUGGACUCUUGUAGUUUAAAUCUCAUUCAGUUAAUUCAAUAAACAUUUAUUAAGUGCCUACUAUGUGCAAGAUAUCAUCUAGGCACCGGAGAGACAAAAACAAAGCAGUCCCUGCCCUCAAGGAGCUUACAUUCUACUGGAGGAAAAUGUACACAGAUAAGUACAAAAUAUAUACAAAGUAGAUACAAUAUCAUUUUGAGGUGGGGUAGCAUUAACAAUGGGGCAGAACAACAAAGCCCACUUGGAGGAGGUGGCAAGUGGGCAGAGACUGAAGGGAGCUAGGGGCUUCAAAAUGCAGAGAUGAGGCAAAGCAUUACCAUGCAGGUGGAAUAGCUUUGUGUGGAGGGAAGCACAAGCACAGGAGGAAUAUUUAAUACGUGUGGGGAAUACCAAGGAGCCCGGUUUGUUUAGAAGGUAGGGUGUGGGAGGUAGAAACAUGAGAUCCAUUUGGAAAUAGAAGCUGGAGUCAGAUUAUAAAAGGCCAAUAUGAGGGGUUUUUAUGUUAUCCUGGAGGCACAAGGAGCUACAUAAACUGCUACAUGUUUAGACCCAUGCCUUUGGAAUAUCUGGUUAGCAGCCGUUUGGAGAAAACUGGAAGCAGGAAGACCAAUUAGGAACCCAGGCUAGAGGUGACAACAAUCUGAAUUAGGGUAGAGAUCACAGGAAUAGAUAGAAAGGGAUAGCUAAGAAAGCUAUUGGGAAGGUGGAGUCUGCAAGACUACAUCUCAUAGACAAGGGCUCAUAAAUGGUCACUGGUGUGACAACCAACCAUCAACAGGUUGGUUGUAAGGGUAAGUGGUUGAAAAAGAUAAGCAAUUAUGGAUCUGAUUGAUGGGGAGGUGCUAAGACUUAGUGAAAAGUGCCAGAGUCCCAACUCCUUGUGCUAGAGAUGUCACCAACUAGCCAAGAUGUCACAUGGGCAAGUUAGUCCAUCUCUUUGGGCUUCAGAGCCCUCACCUAAUAAAAAUGGAAAGAAAUAUCUGCCCCCCUCCGCUCCCAUCUCCUCACAGGGAUAGUUUGAAGAGCAGCUGAAAUAACAGAGCUGGAAGCCUUUUGAAAAAUCUAGAGAUCAGCAUACCAGUACAACAUUAUUAUAAAUUCUUAGGUCUUGGAAGAACUGGAGAACACUCUGCAUACGCUACGCCCCUCUCUAUUUCUCCCUCCUCUUUGUAUGCAGGUUGGAAAUUAGGCUUGCCUAUGAGAAACUCACCUUAGAUCCCCAUGCCUAUGAAUGUCAAACACUCAUUUUAUACAUUUAUACACACACCCAAAUAAGUAUUUAAAGAAAUAAAACUGUUCUAAAUACAUUUCCAUUUGCUUAUAAAUGCUGAUUUACAAUCCUAAAUCUUCCCUUGCUUGUCUGUUUUUUUUUUUUUUUUUUUUUAAAUCUCCAAACUUUAAUCCAAAUACCAGUUCCUGGAUGAGUACUUUCCAUGAUUGAGAGUUGCAUUGUCAGCACCCAUACACAUGUCAUGCAUCUGCAACAUGGAAUGACACACCAUUAUGCCUCCCUAUACAAUUAUUCUUACAUGGCAGCAGUGUUAUAUAAUCUUACCUCAUGUUACCCUAAAUUCAGACAGAGUUGACCUUCUCCACGAUUUGUGAUUUUUCCCCAACACUUGGGCAAAAACGCCUAUGUCAACAGUUUAAAAGAAGGGGAUUAAAAUUCGCUGCUAGCUAACACUAUUCAGGGAAAAGAUUUGAAGAAAAUGAACACUGUGACUUUGUGAUACACAGCCACAAACAUAACACUGGCCAAAGUUGUGCUUUUUCUAAUUUGUGCUCUGAGCCAAUUCCAAUCAUCUCCCAUGAGUCUAUGAUUUCUUAAGGUCACUCAAAUAUUCCCCAUAGAGCCCGUGUUCUUCAGUUUGCCAAAGUUUAAAGAAUGUCCCUCUAUAUAAGUCAGUCUGCUUGGCCUUCUGGCAUCAAAGCCUUUGAAUGCUUCCAUGUCUUUCUUAAGCUCCACAGAGGGUUCCUUCAGUCCCUAAAGUAGUGGAAAGACAUCCAUCUUGAAUCAUUAGGCUGUACUUCAAAUUCUAGCUCUGCCAUUUAAUAUUUAUGUGAUCUUGGAACAGUUUCCUUAUCUAAAAGAUGAAGGAGUUGGACUAUAUCAGUUCUUAAUUUAGGGUCUGUGAUCUUAUUUUCUAAAAAUAUUGGUAACUUUC
This 2284-nucleotide long non-coding RNA is filed under the name Sarcophilus harrisii (Tasmanian devil). RNAcentral's name for it is "lncRNA (ENSSHAG00000032379.1)". The record is from RNAcentral. Lineage: Eukaryota; Metazoa; Chordata; Mammalia; Dasyuromorphia; Dasyuridae.